CGGAACGAGUUAUCUGAACCUUCGGGGGAACGAUAACGGCGUCGAGCGGCGGACGGGUGAGUAAUGCCUAGGAAAUUGCCCUGAUGUGGGGGAUAACCAUUGGAAACGAUGGCUAAUACCGCAUGAUGCCUACGGGCCAAAGAGGGGGACCUUCGGGCCUCUCGCGUCAGGAUAUGCCUAGGUGGGAUUAGCUAGUUGGUGAGGUAAGGGCUCACCAAGGCGACGAUCCCUAGCUGGUCUGAGAGGAUGAUCAGCCACACUGGAACUGAGACACGGUCCAGACUCCUACGGGAGGCAGCAGUGGGGAAUAUUGCACAAUGGGCGCAAGCCUGAUGCAGCCAUGCCGCGUGUGUGAAGAAGGCCUUCGGGUUGUAAAGUACUUUCAGUCGUGAGGAAGGCGGUGUCGUUAAUAGCUGCGUUGUUUGACGUUAGCGACAGAAGAAGCACCGGCUAACUCCGUGCCAGCAGCCGCGUUAAU
RNAcentral lists this ribosomal RNA (478 nucleotides) under Vibrio harveyi. RNAcentral's name for it is "bacterial SSU rRNA". It matches the Rfam family "Bacterial small subunit ribosomal RNA", at positions 67 to 524 of the family's 1533-position model. The record is from RNAcentral. Lineage: Bacteria; Pseudomonadati; Pseudomonadota; Gammaproteobacteria; Vibrionales; Vibrionaceae.